This 57-nucleotide transfer RNA is filed under the name Strongyloides venezuelensis. Its description in RNAcentral is "tRNA-Cys". Lineage: Eukaryota; Metazoa; Nematoda; Chromadorea; Rhabditida; Strongyloididae. The record is from RNAcentral.
AGAUCUUUAAUAUAAGUUGAGUAUAUCCUAUUGCAGAUAGGAAUGUUUAUAGGUCUU